UUGGAUUUGUCUUACAACUCACUGAAUGGUACCAUACCAUCUUGGGUGUUUAGCCUACCUUUGCUAUCUUCAGUGUCGCUCCAUCAUAAUCGAUUCAGAGGGAUAGCUGAUGAAGUGAUCAAAACAAACCCAACAUUAGAACGCCUCGAUUUAAGCCAUAAUCAACUCAGUGGUUCUUUUGCUCAAUCACUUGCGAAUCUCAAAAACCUUUAUUACCUUGACCUUUCAUCAAAUAAAAUCACCAAUG
RNAcentral lists this unclassified non-coding RNA (247 nucleotides) under Hevea brasiliensis (rubber tree). The record is from RNAcentral. Lineage: Eukaryota; Viridiplantae; Streptophyta; Magnoliopsida; Malpighiales; Euphorbiaceae.